Molecule: long non-coding RNA, 1715 nt
Organism: Bos taurus (domestic cattle)
Lineage: Eukaryota; Metazoa; Chordata; Mammalia; Artiodactyla; Bovidae
Source: Ensembl
CAAAUGAACAAAUUCUACCUUAAAUGUGACAAAAGCCAGUUUCUUCUAGGUGUCUUUGUUUCUCCCUUCUUUCCAUUAUCAGGGGCUUUAUGGAAUGAGGAGGAAGACAGGAAGGAGCCUGGAAAUUGCUUGACACCAGCUCAGCAUGAGAGCUGAACUUGAAAAUCUCUGGUCUAUGAAAAUGAAGAGAGAGAACCAGGAUUUGUCAAAAUGGGUCAGACUUUCUCUUUUCCUUUUCUUUAGCUUGAACUGAAAGACAAUGGCGAUUACUAGGUGGGGUCAGGUUCAAGGAGGUGGAUGCAGUACAGGGAGACUCUCUCUUAUGGAAAACCUUCCCCAACACACACACACACACACACACACACACACACACACACACACUCACACACACUCAUACACACUGACUCUUCUGACUUCUGAUGCUAAUGCUUUCACCUUUUCUCAUUUAACCAAAAAGCAGAAUUUGAAAUGCACUCUGGGCAUGUAAGUCUUGUAGGGCCAUACUGAAUGUAGGCCAGAGUGCCACUUCUGACGGUUAGGAGGCAGCCAGAGCUGGUUCUGAGCUUAAGAGAGAUUGCUAAGCAGCUGAUCUGAGCUAGAAAAAUAAAUUUAUGAGAAAUAAGAGAAAGAAAAUGUUCCAAGUGAAUGGCAGAAGAAAAACUGGGUGUGGAUCUGUCAUUUAUGGGCAAAAUACUAACUUAUGCAUUGUGAUUUCACAAGUUCAUCUGACUACUACAAGCUCAACAGCACAGUAGAGAAGGAAAAUAAAAGUCAUUCAUUGAUUUCGGGGUAGGAUCUUUGUAAAUUUUCAGGAGGAAAAAAAAAAAACACAGUUCAGAAAAGUUGAUCAUCUUGCCCAAUAGCACUCUGAGACUUAGGAUCAGAGGUUGGUCUUGGGAUUCCCCAGGCAGUCCAGUAACCACGCUGUGCUGCCUACACAAGUAAGAAUGGUGCAGAGCAGAGGAGGAGCUGCCCAGGUGACCGGGAGGUCAGAGGGAAAAGAGGAUGUCAAGGCAGGAGGGAAGGUGGGAGCACGCUGAGGGGGCAUUUCCUACACACGAGGCUCUGGUACCUGUUUGGCCCAGAAGACAUCAACAAGGGGGGAAAUGACUAAGGUGGAGUCUGCGGGUUCUUUGCAAAAUGUCAGCACUCCUUAGAACCACACGACUGUUUUCUCAGCCCUCUGGAAUUCGUUAAUUUAUUCAACAAUAUUUUCGAGCACCUGUUUUGUUCCAGGCGCUGCUCCUGGCCAUAUGAAUAAAACCGACCCUUAAAAGACAGGCCCUUUUCCUCUGGAGGGUGUUCUAGUGAGAUAUAGGAAAAUAAAUAAACAUGAGAGUGUCUAAUCAUGUUAAGUGCUAUGAAGAAAACUGCACAGAGUAAUAUGGGAGUGACUGGAGGAUCUGCUUUGGACUGGGUGGUUAGGAAAACCUCUUUAAGGAGGCGGCAUUUGAGCUGAGACCUCGAAGAGAAGAGCCAGUGACACAGUGAGACAGCUGGUUAGAGAGCACAGGCCAUGCAAAGGCUCAAGGACAAGGUCAAGUGAUCAUGAGACCAAGGGUGGCAGGUUCAAGGAAACACAGAAAGUCUGCGUGGCUGUGACUCUGGGAGGAAGGAGGAGCGGAUGAAAUGAGGUCAUCCCGGUGAGCUCAGCCGUACCAGAGAGAUGCAUCUGUCCACUUAGCAAGUAUCAAGCGUCCACUAGGCGCAGGGCA